Non-coding RNA from Biomphalaria pfeifferi, 1748 nucleotides. The record is from the annotation of a GenBank genome assembly. Lineage: Eukaryota; Metazoa; Mollusca; Gastropoda; Planorbidae.
AUCCAAUCUUUGAGGCUUCAUCAGCCAAAUUUUAUUUCCUGAUGAUAUUCAUCAUUUAUGUGACAAUUUGUAGGUAGAACUUCAAUUCUACCGUGACACUUUUUUUUUUUGCAAUUUUUUUUUUAUCUUAACUCUUUUUAAACUGAAUCACUCUUAUCAUCUUGUUCUUCACUUGAAAGAUCUAAGCUCUAAAUAAAAACAUAGUUAACAAAAUGCUUGCAUUAUACAUUGGGAUCUUCUUGGGGAAAUCUGUCUUGAAUAGUAGUUCACUAAUGGCUAUACAUAUGUAGGCUUAUGUCUCCCCUUCACAAAACAAUUACAUUGCAAACUUAUCCAAGUGUCAUUCACCAAAACGAACGGUCACGUGAUAAUAUUGAUAGAAUACGAGGAAAAAAAACUCACUUGUUAACCAUUGUUGAUUAAAAUUAGAUCGUAAUUUGUAUCGACGAGAUAGAGAAGCACGUGACUCUAUGUUUUUUGUUUGUGAUUGGUGGAUGAGGUCUUUUAGAUAGAUAGAUAAACUCUGCUAUGUCAUUAGUUUUCUUGGUUGAUUCAAGCAAACUGUUUCAUUCUCUAAUAGCGCAAGAGCAGAAAGGGAACUCGUAAGAAUUUGUCCUACGGAGAGACACACUUUAGGUGACUGCUAGUGAACGCGCAAUUGUGACAACAUUAAUUAAAAGGGAGACUGCACGUUAGAUAUAGAUAAACAGACAGUUAAUGCUAGGCUUUGAUAGAAGCAACAUCUUUUGUUAUAGUGACUUAUAUAGUGAUACUAUUUGAUCUACACCUGUUGAUUUAAUUAAUGUAAAAGUCUUGUUCUGUAAGUCUGUUGAUACGAACUCACGAGUAAUGCUACUCGUACAGAAACAAUCUUCUGAUCAGCACAAACUUUUACAGUCCCAGAUUGGGCAUCUUACACCUAGCACUCGGAAUAAGCCAUCAACACAUUCUUCAUGUGUUCAUUCUGUUCCAUAAUGCGCUAACUUCGGAAACAACACCUUGGACCUUGUUGUCAUUUUCUCUUCAAGGCUUCAUUUGUCAAGCCGAAAUACAAUAUUAGUGUAAGGUAACAACUUUUUUUUUUUGGCAACUCAUUUGUCAAGCGGAAAUACAACAUUAAUGUUAGGUAACAACUUUUUAAAAAAAAAUUUCUUCGCCUUCUGUUAAAAGUGUCAUAAUUAUGGAUUCCGAAUCAAAAAUUUAUAUUUCAAUGGUUUUUUGGUAACACAAUUGAAGUCGUUGAAAACAGAAUAAAAUCUGAUUAACUCAGUUCGAAUGUGAAGAAUUGAACUCGCUUCAUUAAUUGACAAUUCGUGACCACGUGGUACUAGGUACAAGAUAAAAUGAUUAAUUCAAAUUAUAAAUAGAACAUGAAAAUUGAAGCAUAAAAAAAAUAAGACACAAAAUAAAAAACUAGAGAGUAGAUUUCAACUUACCCAAUACAAUAGCGAGCUGUCUCGCUGACUGUUGACUACACGUAGGUUAAGCAGUCAUCACUUAGCGUGAAAGAAAAUGACUGCAGAACUAUUUCGUGUUGAAAAGUCUACAAUAUAUAACUAAUGUAAUUAACCGAAUACAAGAUUCAGUAUUGAACUAUGACAACACUGGAUAGCCCUCGCUGUCUUCAAUGCACUCCAACACGAGUUCAAAUAACUUUGAAACAAAAUCAUCUGAUGGGGACGAAUGAAUAAAUAUUUAUAAAUGUUCACAAAUAAAUGUUCACAAAUAAAUGUUCACAAAUAAAUGUU